This 429-nucleotide ribosomal RNA is filed under the name Verrucomicrobiota bacterium. RNAcentral's name for it is "Verrucomicrobia bacterium partial 16S ribosomal RNA". It matches the Rfam family "Bacterial small subunit ribosomal RNA", at positions 355 to 776 of the family's 1533-position model. Lineage: Bacteria; Pseudomonadati; Verrucomicrobiota. The record is from RNAcentral.
UAGGGAAUCUUCCGCAAUGGACGAAAGUCUGACGGAGCAACGCCGCGUGAGUGAAGAAGGAUUUCGGUUCGUAAAACUCUGUUGUUAGGGAAGAAAAAAUGUAUAGUAACUAUAUACAAAAGAGACGGUACCUAACCAGAAAGCCACGGCUAACUACGUGCCAGCAGCCGCGGUAAUACGUAGGUGGCAAGCGUUGUCCGGAAUUAUUGGGCGUAAAGCGCGCGCAGGUGGUUUAGAAAGUCUGAUGUGAAAGCCCACGGCUCAACCGUGGAGGGUCAUUGGAAACUAAUAAACUUGAGUGCAGGAGAGAAAAGUGGAAUUCCUAGUGUAGCGGUGAAAUGCGUAUAGAUUAGGAGGAACACCGGUGGCGAAAGCGGCUUUUUGGCCUGCAACUGACACUGAGGCGCGAAAGCGUGGGGAGCAAACAGG